This 77-nucleotide transfer RNA is filed under the name Lentisphaerota bacterium. RNAcentral describes it as "Lentisphaerae bacterium tRNA-Ala". It matches the Rfam family "tRNA". From Rfam's summary of the family: Transfer RNA (tRNA) molecules are approximately 80 nucleotides in length. Their secondary structure includes four short double-helical elements and three loops (D, anti-codon, and T loops). RNAcentral also lists the same sequence under 2 other names. Lineage: Bacteria; Pseudomonadati; Lentisphaerota. The record is from RNAcentral.
GGGGCGGUAGCUCAGUUUGGGAGAGCGCCAGAAUCGCACUCUGGAGGCCGUGGGUUCGAUCCCCAUCCGCUCCACCA